Long non-coding RNA from Sander lucioperca (pikeperch), 114 nucleotides. RefSeq lists it as uncharacterized. The record is from RefSeq and is a predicted model, not a curated record. The transcript has 3 exons. Lineage: Eukaryota; Metazoa; Chordata; Actinopteri; Perciformes; Percidae.
ACAGUCCAUUUGAUGAUUUCCAAUCAAUCAGGAUUUAGAGAGCAUCAUAGCACAGAGACGGCACCGCUGAAAAUUACAAAUGACCUGCUAAUUGCUUCAGAGAAAGGACUUGUC